Molecule: long non-coding RNA, 179 nt
Organism: Perognathus longimembris pacificus (Pacific pocket mouse)
Lineage: Eukaryota; Metazoa; Chordata; Mammalia; Rodentia; Heteromyidae
Exons: 3
Source: RefSeq, a predicted model, not a curated record
CAUUGGCUACCUGCAGGCAAAUUAUCCAAGGAGCCACAUAUUGAAGGGUUGAAUCUUGGAGGUUUGAUUAGAGCAUUAGCAGUCUGCAGGCAGCCAGUUGUUACAAAGGCCUGCAGCCCAGAAAUACACUUAACACUAUCAGGAAAGAGACCAGAGAGGGAAGAGAGAACAAAAAUAAU